AGCUCAAAUUUGAAAUCUGGCUCUUUCAGGGUCCGAGUUGUAAUUUAGAGAAGUGUUACCCGCGCUGAACCGUAUAUAAGUCCUUUGGAAUGAGGCGUCAUAGAGGGUGAGAAUCCCGUCUUUGAUACGGACUGCCAGUGCUUUUGUGGUAUGCUCUCAAA
RNAcentral lists this ribosomal RNA (161 nucleotides) under Hydropus marginellus. RNAcentral describes it as "partial large subunit ribosomal RNA". It matches the Rfam family "Eukaryotic large subunit ribosomal RNA", at positions 106 to 261 of the family's 3401-position model. The record is from RNAcentral. Lineage: Eukaryota; Fungi; Basidiomycota; Agaricomycetes; Agaricales; Mycenaceae.